Molecule: small nuclear RNA, 288 nt
Filed under: Meriones unguiculatus (Mongolian gerbil)
Lineage: Eukaryota; Metazoa; Chordata; Mammalia; Rodentia; Muridae
Description: 7SK RNA (ENSMUGG00000001465.1)
Rfam family: 7SK RNA
About the family: 7SK was discovered as an abundant small nuclear RNA in the mid-70s but a possible function has only recently been suggested. Two independent studies have found that 7SK RNA binds the CDK9/cyclin T complex (known as elongation factor P-TEFb).
Source: RNAcentral
GGAUAUGAGGGCGAUCUGACUGCCUGUCACCCCAUUGAUUGCCAGGGUUGAUUUGGCUGAUCUGGCUGUCUAGUCGGAUGUCACUUUCCUCCCUCACUGCUCCAUUUUCAUCCCUCCCAAAGCUGUGCCCUCAUUUGAAGAGGACGACCUUCCUCAAAUAGAGAAUUUAGUCAAGGGUAUAAAAAUCACUGUGCUCCCUGCUAGAACCUCCAAACAAGCUUCCCACAUUUCUAAGUGCUAUAGCUAGGCACCAUUUUGAGAGCAGACCUAUUUGAGACUGAGCUACUC